RNAcentral lists this long non-coding RNA (361 nucleotides) under Brassica napus (rape). RNAcentral describes it as "long non-coding RNA (BNAP_LNC011211)". Lineage: Eukaryota; Viridiplantae; Streptophyta; Magnoliopsida; Brassicales; Brassicaceae. The record is from RNAcentral.
AUUGUUCACAUUGAUGCAGAUCACCCGGUUUGGUUUAAAUAGUUUGUAUGAGUCAGUAUCGUGGAUGACAAAAAAAUAAAAUAAAGGGGAUUAAAAACCAAUAGCGUUUCAUGGUUUUUAGGGUGUAAAUAGCGUUCCAUGGUUUUUAGGUUGUAAUUAAUAGCGUUUCAUAUUACCAAAUAAACUGACAUCAUUUCAGGAAACAUGCGUAUCUUUGUUGUCUCCAUGAAACAAUUGGUUUUACUCUUUUACUUCAACUUCUUCUCUCCCCUUCUCCUCUUUGAUAUCCUUUGAUUUUAAUAUUAUUUAAAUAACUGUAGUGUCUAAUUAAAUUAAAUUAUAAUCAGAGUGUUUGUGGCGA